UUCGCGGUAGUUUAAGGCAGGACGUCUAGCAGAGAUACCGGAGUAAAGCGAAAGGGAAAGACGAAAAAGGACGGAGCCGAACAAGGGGCAACCGCGGAUCGGUCCUGCGUUCCCUCCGGCAACUCCCGGGCAGUAUUUCCUCCGCACCCCGGCUCCCCGCCCUCAUAAAAUCCUCACAUUUCCGUUCCCCCUUUAGGCCAGAGGGGACAGGGCGCUACUGACCGCCAAGCGGUUUCGAUCCCCUUUAAAGUCCGCUUUUCCCCAUGCUCCCACCUCGCAUUCAAAGUAAGAAAACGGCAACAAUCUGCAUUUUCUUCAAGAAAGGCAAAUAUUGCCCCGUAUGUGCGCGCUCGCCUGCAAAGAGGCAGAUACAGUCACUGCAGUGCCGCUUCCAGCACCAGCCCCGGCCGCCAGAAAACGCCCACUGGCGGAGCCAGCGCUUCCCAGGCCCCCUCCCUCCCUUCUCCCUCCCUUCUCCCUCCCUUCCUCUCACUGCUAGGCGCGCACUCGGGAGCUACGGCACAGCGGUUACCUAAAGGGAAAGCAGGGAGAAACACGAGGAAAAGAUCCUCCUUAUGCGGUGUCAUUAUUUUAAACAUAUGUUUCCAGCUGCUGAGAUCAAAAGGCAGACGCCCUGCUGUGCCUGGGCUGGAGACGCUAGAGAGCUGCCCCUUCGUUUCUGUGGGGCAUCCAACACCAUUUCUACACGAAAAUGAGCAGACCCUCCCCGACGCUCAGCAUCACUUGUGUUUGCUUUGGCUCCCCCCCGCUUUUCCCACCACUUGGCACACUGACAUCCACCCAGCCCUCAACCCCAGUCCUCCGGCUCCCCGGAGACUGCCUCAGACCCUGCUCUCAGGUGCAAUGUGGCUCCGGGGCUGCCACCGGCCUUGCUCCGCAAGCACGGGCACCGUCGCUCGCCAGCGGAGCCUGUCACCCUGGCCAGCCGCCAUCUCGACCCCGCGUUGGGGUCCCCGGGCAUUCGGGGUCCCGCCCCGCCGCCUCACCCCGCCAUUCCGGC
This 1021-nucleotide long non-coding RNA is filed under the name Parus major (Great Tit). RNAcentral describes it as "lncRNA (ENSPMJG00000001401.1)". The record is from RNAcentral. Lineage: Eukaryota; Metazoa; Chordata; Aves; Passeriformes; Paridae.